ACGCAUCAUUCAAAUUUCUGC
RNAcentral lists this non-coding RNA (21 nucleotides) under Arabidopsis thaliana (thale cress). Lineage: Eukaryota; Viridiplantae; Streptophyta; Magnoliopsida; Brassicales; Brassicaceae. The record is from RNAcentral.